Numida meleagris (helmeted guineafowl) is the source of this 254-nucleotide long non-coding RNA. RefSeq lists it as uncharacterized. The record is from RefSeq and is a predicted model, not a curated record. The transcript has 3 exons. NCBI's taxonomy places the organism in Eukaryota, Metazoa, Chordata, Aves, Galliformes, Numididae.
GGCGACAAGAUUGGUUUAACUGUGAAUGAAGGACUGCAGCUUUUUCUGUGAAUCACCUUUCCACGUUCGUUAACUUAAGAAGUUAACCUGGAACAAGAAUUCUCCAUCAUCUUGUCACCUUGCAGAGCUUUCUGUGAAUGAAGGAAAGCCUGGACUCUAGCGGAUCAGUAAGAUGGCACAGAAAGAGAUAUGCCCCUGGAGUGAUGCCCACUUCCUAGAUCAGAGGUAACAUCAGUGAAAUGAGUCAAGCUCCA